AGUGAGCUAUUUUUAACACUCAGUCAUGGACAGGGUGGCCUGGCCGGCCUGCACAUCCACUGAGUGUCCUAGCAUUUUCCUCUCCAUGCCAGAAGUGCUGCAGCAGCGUGAGCACUGUGCUACCGCUCAGUGUAGGAAGGGCACGCUUUCCACACUCACGUGCUGUGACACACACUGUUAGGCCGCCAGGGCUGGGGCGGAAGCACCAGAGCCACUCAGCAGCGAAGCUCUCUGCAGAUGGUGAGGAAGAGCAGGACGUCAACUCCCACGCCACGUCACGCACAAGGUGAACCCCAGGGGGAGGCCUCUGGCCCAGAGGUUAAGGUGCCAGAAACAACAACAUGAAGAUUAGUGCACUCACAAUGUGAUGCGUCUGCCUCUUGGGCCGCCCAGCUGGCCGGAGCAGAAAGGAAGAGACGUCCCUCCCCAGGUGAGCCCAGCAGGGAACCUAAGAAACUGCACAGCAUGCUGGGGAUAGAACUCUCCUUUGGGGAGCGGUCCCGGGGGCUGUACCUAGGAGAGCUCACCAGCGCAGGGACGCGGGUGGGUGUCCCACACUUAGAAGGCGGAGCCCCCUGGGGGCUGCCUCCUGUGCCCCCUACAAGCAGAAAACCGUGCUUUCAUUUAACAAUUAAAAGGCUCAUCGGGAGGUCCCUGCACUUGGCCAGCCCGGUCUCUUAGGUGACUAACAGCAGCGACUGUGUAUUUUGUUUCUGACUUUAACGAGGCCUGGAAGGGUGUGAGGAGAUUCCUGCUCUAAGUAGGCUCUAGGUUUUUAUACUGUAACCCUCAGGGUUUAAGCUUGAAAAGUUCAGCAGCUUAGUCAAGACUCCAGUAAAACUCAUGGCUCCCGGCAAACAUUUAAAGGUCUCGUGUGCUGUGUUUUAAAGGUUAGGGCGGGCGGAUGACCUGGAUUGACGUCUCCAUUUACAGUAAAAAAACACAAACCAUGAAGAGGCAAUGUCUCUUCCUUCUGUUCCCCCUCUGUGGCACCCCAGCUGUUGGGCUGUCCAGGGGUAUUUAGAGAAUGGUCAGCCCCUGGAACUCUAUGCUCGGCAAGCACAAGUCUCCCUUGGAAAUCCAUCAAUCCCUACAGAGCUUAUUCUAGCACACACGGCACCGGGAGUAUGCUCCUUCGUGCUGGGAGGAAGAGGAGCCAGCACGGCCACGCAGCACCAAUCAGGACAACUACAAAGGAGGGGACUUGCACUGUCCAUCCACUUCCUGAAAGCGGAACGGAAAUGGCUACACUUGAGAGAAAGCAUCUGCUGCACACGUGACGUGUACACAGAACACGGGUCUGGAGGCAGCCACCUCCUGGAUUUCUACUGAAUGACUUCGUCAUGUGACAGCCCAGCUUCGUCACUGUUUCUGACCUACAACGACUGCAAGAAAUACCUGCUCCCACGACGCACAUUCCGGAUAAAUGUCAGCCACCGCAGGGCGGUGUGGGGCAUGAGUCUUGCAGCCAGAAGCCCUCUGCACACCAGCCACAUGCCUGCCAUACACCUUGACUCUGCCUCAGCUUCCUCUAUGCCUUACCAGGUGUUUGUAAGGACUGGGAAGAUAAUAAUAAAUGCUGUUCUAGCACAACAUCUUAAACAGUGUAAACCCAAUAAAUGGUUAUUUCUUUUGCUCCUUAUGUCACGUUGUUACCUGGAAUGGGGAACAGCACUGUCACAGAAUCUUAGAUAUAGAAAUGCAUAGCUAAGCAAACGACAGCUUUGUGGGCACUUGUUAAGCAUCAGCUGUCCUAGGGUUGCUACAGCAUAUAGUAGUCCCUGGUCCUUGUCGCUGCUACUUCUUCCUUGGAAGACAGAAGACUCCCGCCAGUGGGGUCCUGCCUUGUACGUUGUUCACACUGCCCCGUCAGUGCUGCCAUCUGUCAAGGGGGUCUCCCAAGCACCUGGGCUCAGGGCCAAGGCCUCAGAACGUUUCCUGUGGGACGCAGUGGCCACAGUGCACCCAACACGCCAAUGCAUGCCCCAGCUCCUGGUGCACUCCCAAUGCCUCUGAGAGCUUAACACAGACCCUUAACAGGGUUUUGAACUUUGUACACUCUCUCUUAUAGGGGCUUAUUUAAAUAACUGAGCAAGCAAAAUUGGUUGAUUCACCAGGCAGCACCUGAUACGCUGACCUACAUCCUGCUGAUACUAACAGGAUUCAACGUCCGAGCCAGGUGACAAGGAGCAGUAAUGUCCCAGCUGGCACUGUCAGGAGGUCUGCCUGGGAGAACGGUGCUGCAGAAGAAAGCCCAAGUCUCUCAAGCUCUCUGACUUAAUUCAACGUUGUCAAGACGUCUCUCUCUUUUUCUUUUUAGGUCGCACUGACAAAGAUGAACAGAGCCUACGGGUUUUUUUUUUUUUUUUUUUUUUUAAA
Molecule: non-coding RNA, 2379 nt
Organism: Oryctolagus cuniculus (rabbit)
Lineage: Eukaryota; Metazoa; Chordata; Mammalia; Lagomorpha; Leporidae
Source: RefSeq, a predicted model, not a curated record